UACGGAGGGUCCAAGCGUUAUCCGGAAUCAUUGGGUUUAAAGGGUCCGUAGGCGGUUUUGUAAGUCAGUGGUGAAAGCCCAUCGCUCAACGGUGGAACGGCCAUUGAUACUGCAAGACUUGAAUUAUUAGGAAGUAACUAGAAUAUGUAGUGUAGCGGUGAAAUGCUUAGAGAUUACAUGGAAUACCAAUUGCGAAGGCAGGUUACUACUAAUGGAUUGACGCUGAUGGACGAAAGCGUGGGAAGCGAACAGG
Molecule: ribosomal RNA, 253 nt
Filed under: uncultured bacterium
Lineage: Bacteria
Description: partial 16S ribosomal RNA
Rfam family: Bacterial small subunit ribosomal RNA
Source: RNAcentral